UUCCGGCGAUCAUAUCUGAAAGGUUAUACCUGUUCCCAUUCCGAACACAGUAGUCAAGCUUUCAGAGCCGAUGAUAGUGCCCACCAGCGUGAAAGUAGGUCUUGCCGGAU
This 110-nucleotide ribosomal RNA is filed under the name Rhodopirellula islandica. The record is from RNAcentral. Lineage: Bacteria; Pseudomonadati; Planctomycetota; Planctomycetia; Pirellulales; Pirellulaceae.